UUUGUAUAACUGUGAUCUUCUUUCACUAGUAUUGUGACGUCAUGGACUUUCAGUCGCGGAGCGUCACGCCUUGCCCGGAAGCCGCGCCGGCCGGAUGUCGAGAUUGUGGCCCCCGGCCCCUGAUUCCUUCCGGUGGAUCCCGAUGGUCGCGCACCACGUAAGUAACGGGAGUCGA
This is a long non-coding RNA of Manduca sexta (tobacco hornworm), 175 nucleotides long. RefSeq lists it as uncharacterized. The record is from RefSeq and is a predicted model, not a curated record. The transcript is spliced from 2 exons. Lineage: Eukaryota; Metazoa; Arthropoda; Insecta; Lepidoptera; Sphingidae.